CAGUAUUAGAGUUUAUCUAUGUCCAUUACUAUAGGGUUUUACUCACCAUGAUAAGAUUUUAUCACAAACUAUUUACAUUUAAUUGUAAUUCACCUUUAAUCAUGACAAAAUUUUAUCAUGAUAAAUAAAAUUCAAUAACAAUGGGAACAGUUAAAACCAGGACACUGCUCUUUAACUAGUGCCUUAAGGGCACUUGUUAGAAAAACCCAAUAAAAAGUAGCAACAUAUUCAGAACUAAAACUAGGGAUAAUAUUGGAUACAAGACAUCUGCAUAUUUGCUCCAUAUUCUU
This 290-nucleotide unclassified non-coding RNA is filed under the name Hevea brasiliensis (rubber tree). Lineage: Eukaryota; Viridiplantae; Streptophyta; Magnoliopsida; Malpighiales; Euphorbiaceae. The record is from RNAcentral.